GAUGAACGCUGGCGGCGUGCCUAAUACAUGCAAGUCGAGCGAACAGACGAGGAGCUUACUCCUCUGACGUUAGCGGCGGACGGGUGAGUAACACGUGGAUAACCUACCUAUAAGACUGGGAUAACUUCGGGAAACCGGAGCUAAUACCGGAUAACAUGUUGAACCGCAUGGUUCAACAGUGAAAGACGGUCUUGCUGUCACUUAUAGAUGGAUCCGCGUCGCAUUAGCUAGUUGGUAAGGUAACGGCUUACCAAGGCAACGAUGCGUAGCCGACCUGAGAGGGUGAUCGGCCACACGGGAACUGAGACACGGUCCAGACUCCUACGGGGGGCAGCAGUAGGGAAUCUUCCGCAAUGGGCGAAAGCCUGACGGAGCAACGCCGCGUGAGUGAAGAAGGUCUGCGGAUCGUAAAACUCUGUUAUUAGGGAAGAACAAAUGUGUAAGUAACAAUGCACGUCUUGACGGUACCUAAUCAGAAAGCCACGGCUAACUACGU
RNAcentral lists this ribosomal RNA (496 nucleotides) under uncultured bacterium. RNAcentral describes it as "partial 16S ribosomal RNA". It matches the Rfam family "Bacterial small subunit ribosomal RNA", at positions 28 to 506 of the family's 1533-position model. The record is from RNAcentral.